CUCAGUUCGGAUUGCAGGCUGCAACCCGCCUGCAUGAAGUCGGAAUUGCUAGUAAUCGUAGGUCAGCAUACUACGGUGAAUACGUUCCCGGGCCUUGUACACACCGCCCGUCAAACCAUGAGAGUUGGCAACACCCGAAGUCGGUAGCCUAACCGCAAGGAGGACGCCGCCGAAGGUGGGGUUGAUGAUUAGGGUUAAGUCGUAACAAGGUAGC
RNAcentral lists this ribosomal RNA (214 nucleotides) under uncultured bacterium. RNAcentral's name for it is "partial 16S ribosomal RNA". It matches the Rfam family "Bacterial small subunit ribosomal RNA", at positions 1287 to 1500 of the family's 1533-position model. The record is from RNAcentral.